AAGGCUACCAGGCGACGACGGGUAGCCGGCCUGAGAGGGCGACGGCACACUGGGACUGAGACACGGCCCAGACUCCUACGGGAGGCAGCAGUGGGGAAUAUUGCACAAUGGGCGAAAGCCUGAUGCAGCGACGCCGCGUGAGGGAUGACGGCCUUCGGGUUGUAAACCUCUUUCAGCAGGGAAGAAGCGAAAGUGACGGUACCUGCAGAAGAAGCGCCGGCUAACUACGUGCCAGCAGCCGCGGCGGA
This 248-nucleotide ribosomal RNA is filed under the name Streptomyces sp. RSAUACT-20. Its description in RNAcentral is "partial 16S ribosomal RNA". It matches the Rfam family "Bacterial small subunit ribosomal RNA", at positions 260 to 524 of the family's 1533-position model. The record is from RNAcentral. Lineage: Bacteria; Bacillati; Actinomycetota; Actinomycetes; Kitasatosporales; Streptomycetaceae.